Molecule: ribosomal RNA, 529 nt
Filed under: uncultured Entrophospora
Lineage: Eukaryota; Fungi; Glomeromycota; Glomeromycetes; Entrophosporales; Entrophosporaceae
Description: SSU rRNA
Rfam family: Eukaryotic small subunit ribosomal RNA
Source: RNAcentral
AGCAGCCGCGGUAAUUCCAGCUCCAAUAGCGUAUAUUAAAGUUGUUGCAGUUAAAAAGCUCGUAGUUGAAUUUCGGGAUUGGCGCAUCGGUCGUGCCUCACGGGGUAUGAACUGGUGCAGUCAAUUCCUCACCUUCUGGAGAACCGCGAUGUCCUUAAUUGGAUGCCGCGGGGAACCAGGACCUUUACUUUGAAAAAAUUAGAGUGUUUAAAGCAGGCAUUUUUGCUUGAAUACAUUAGCAUGGAAUAAUAAAAUAGGACGGCAUGGUUCUAUUUUGUUGGUUUCUAGGACCACCGUAAUGAUUAAUAGGGAUAGUUGGGGGCAUUAGUAUUCAAUUGUCAGAGGUGAAAUUCUUGGAUUUAUUGAAGACUAACUACUGCGAAAGCAUUUGCCAAGGAUGUUUUCAUUAAUCAAGAACGAAAGUUAGGGGAUCGAAGACGAUCAGAUACCGUCGUAGUCUUAACCAUAAACUAUGCCGACUAGGAAUCAGACGAUGUUAAUUUUUUAAUGACUCGUUUGGCACCUUACG